RNAcentral lists this ribosomal RNA (495 nucleotides) under uncultured organism. RNAcentral's name for it is "SSU rRNA". It matches the Rfam family "Bacterial small subunit ribosomal RNA", at positions 10 to 509 of the family's 1533-position model. The record is from RNAcentral.
AGUUUGAUCCUGGCUCAGGAUGAACGCUGGCGGCGUGCCUAACACAUGCAAGUCGAGCGGAGAUUAGAGAGAAGCUUGCUUCAUUUUAAUCUUAGCGGCGGACGGGUGAGUAACACGUGAGUAACCUGCCCUUGAGUGGGGAACAACAUCGAGAAAUCGGUGCUAAUACCGCAUAAUAUCAUUGGACCGCAUGAUCCGGUGAUCAAAGGAUUUAUUCGCUUGAGGAUGGACUCGCGUCCGAUUAGUUAGUUGGUGAGGUAACGGCCCACCAAGACAUCGAUCGGUAGCCGAACUGAGAGGUUGAUCGGCCACAUUGGGACUGAGACACGGCCCAGACUCCUACGGGAGGCAGCAGUGGGGAAUAUUGGGCAAUGGGCGAAAGCCUGACCCAGCAACGCCGCGUGAAGGAUGAAGGUCUUCGGAUUGUAAACUUCUUUGAUCAGGGACGAAACAAAUGACGGUACCUGAAGAACAAGCCACGGCUAACUACGUGCC